This 456-nucleotide ribosomal RNA is filed under the name uncultured bacterium. RNAcentral's name for it is "bacterial SSU rRNA". It matches the Rfam family "Bacterial small subunit ribosomal RNA", at positions 29 to 507 of the family's 1533-position model. The record is from RNAcentral.
AUUGAACGCUGGCGGAAUGCUUUACACAUGCAAGUCGAGCGGCAGCGCGGGGCAACCUGGCGGCGAGCGGCGAACGGGUGAGUAAUGCAUCGGAACGUACCCAGUCGUGGGGGAUAACGUGGCGAAAGUCACGCUAAUACCGCAUACGUCCUGAGGGAGAAAGCAGGGGAUCGCAAGACCUUGCGCGAUUGGAGCGGCCGAUGUCUGAUUAGCUAGUUGGUGGGGUAAAGGCCUACCAAGGCGACGAUCAGUAGCUGGUCUGAGAGGACGAUCAGCCACACUGGGACUGAGACACGGCCCAGACUCCUACGGGAGGCAGCAGUGGGGAAUCUUGCGCAAUGGGCGAAAGCCUGACGCAGCAACGCCGCGUGCGGGAAGAAGGCUCUCGGGUUGUAAACCGCUUUCAGCAGGACGAAAAUGACGGUACUUGCAGAAGAAGGUGCGGCCAACUACGUG